Molecule: unclassified non-coding RNA, 397 nt
Filed under: uncultured fungus
Lineage: Eukaryota; Fungi
Description: partial contains small subunit ribosomal RNA, internal transcribed spacer 1, and 5.8S ribosomal RNA
Rfam family: Eukaryotic small subunit ribosomal RNA (bases 1-73)
Source: RNAcentral
ACAAACUUGGUCAUUUAGAGGAAGUAAAAGUCGUAACAAGGUUUCCGUAGGUGAACCUGCGGAAGGAUCAUUAUAGAAUUGUUGAAACUGGGUUGUCGCUGGCUCUCUCUUUCUUGAGAUUGCAUGUGCACGCCUACUUCAAACUUUUCAAAAAUUUUUAAACCUCCUGUGCACUCUUGUGGAUUGUGAAUGAAUAAACUUGGUCAAAGUUACAUUUGGUUUUGGGGAUCGCAUUUUGCUUUCCCCUACUCUUCAUCCAUAGUUCAUGUAUUUUACUAUAAAUCAUUAAAUAUCAACCUAGAAUGCUUCACAAGUUGGGACUUUAGUGACCCUUCUUAAAUCUUAUACAACUUUCAACAACGGAUCUCUUGGCUCUCGCAUCGAUGAAGAACGCAGC